Molecule: ribosomal RNA, 253 nt
Filed under: uncultured bacterium
Lineage: Bacteria
Description: partial 16S ribosomal RNA
Rfam family: Bacterial small subunit ribosomal RNA
Source: RNAcentral
UACGGGGGGGGCAAGCGUUGUUCGGAAUUACUGGGCGUAAAGGGCUCGUAGGCGGCCAACUAAGUCAGACGUGAAAUCCCUCGGCUUAACCGGGGAGCUGCGUCUGAUACUGGAUGGCUUGAGUCCGGGAGAGGGAUGCGGAAUUCCAGGUGUAGCGGUGAAAUGCGUAGAUAUCAGAAGGAACAUCAGUGGCGAAGGCGGCUUUCUGGACCAAUACUGACGAUCAGGUGCGAAAGCGUGGGGAGCAAACAGG